UGACGGAGCACGCCGCGUGAGUGAUGAAGGUUUUCGGAUCGUAAAACUCUGUUGUCAGGGAAGAACAAGUGCCGGAGUAACUGCCGGCGCCUUGACGGUACCUGACCAGAAAGCCACGGCUAACUACGUGCCAGCAGCCGCGGUAAUACGUAGGUGGCAAGCGUUGUCCGGAAUUAUUGGGCGUAAAGCGCGCGCAGGCGGUUUCUUAAGUCUGAUGUGAAAGCCCCCGGCUCAACCGGGGAGGGUCAUUGGAAACUGGGAAACUUGAGUGCAGAAGAGGAGAGUGGAAUUCCACGUGUAGCGGUGAAAUGCGUAGAGAUGUGGAGGAACACCAGUGGCGAAGGCGACUCUCUGGUCUGUAACUGACGCUGAGGCGCGAAAGCGUGGGGAGCGAACAGGAUUAGAUACCCUGGUAGUCCACGCCGUAAACGAUGAGUGCUAAGUGUUAGAGGGUUUCCGCCCUUUAGUGCUGCAGCUAACGCAUUAAGCACUCCGCCUGGGGAGUACGGUCGCAAGACUGAAACUCAAAAAAAUUGACGGGGGCCCGCACAAGCGGUGGAGCAUGUGGUUUAAUUCGAAGCAACGCGAAGAACCUUACCAGGUCUUGACAUCCUUUGCCACUCUAGAGA
RNAcentral lists this ribosomal RNA (629 nucleotides) under Bacillus sp. (in: firmicutes). Its description in RNAcentral is "bacterial SSU rRNA". It matches the Rfam family "Bacterial small subunit ribosomal RNA", at positions 384 to 1004 of the family's 1533-position model. The record is from RNAcentral. Lineage: Bacteria; Bacillati; Bacillota; Bacilli; Caryophanales; Bacillaceae.